CUAAUGUAAUUUACAAAACCAAUGAUUUUGAAACAUUUCUAGUUUGUCUAGGAUUUCACUAUUCCUGUAAGUUUUUAUGUCACUUUAAUCUAAGAAUCAAAUAACUGUAAAAUCUUUACCUAAAAUAAGCGUAAAUUUAUUUAUAGAAAAGUCUUUUAUCAGCAAAAGUCUUGAGAUUUUAAUAUAAAUGUUUAAAUCAGGACCACAUUUCCUGUUGCAUAAUAUUGAUCUUGCCUAAAGUAGUUAGUUUUUCCAAGCUUUUUGAUUUGAUUCAAGUUCCUAAUGCAAUGUAAUUUUUAUAUAUAUAUUUAUUUAUUUUUAAUUGAAUACAUUUCACAGUAUAGAAAAUGCUUGUUUUUCAGAGGUCUUUGCUUUGAGUAAUUAACAGAGAAGCACUUAGCUUAAAACUAGCAAGCUGAUAAUUUCCAAAGUUAACCAUAUAUGUGCAGAAGUAAUUUUCCUAAAUGAUAGAGAUGUUCUGGAUUUUCCCCAUAGCAGUUUUUGUUUGUUUGUUUGUGAGAUUCAUUACAGAAUCUUUGGAUACGGUGAAGAGAAAAAAGGGAAAGAUAACAGAAGAAGUUAUGUAUGCUUUCAGUAGCUCACAUGCUGCAAAGUAAACAUGAUUCAUUUAAACUAGCUUCAAGAUUCAAUUUUAGUCUUCCUUCGCUGACCAAUGGCAGAGAGCAUUGCCUGAUGUGCUGGAAGCAGAGUUGGCUGACUGGUGGUAGUGCACGAUAUAAGGACACAUGCUACACCGAAAGUUGCUCAGUCGGGUAGUGAGAAUCUAGAUAUCCUAUACAGCUGUCUCCAAGGCAACAUAAAACUCAAGUGAACUCUGAGCAAUGCUGAGAACUUUCUGAGAAAAACAAACAAACAAAAAAAAAACAACAAACCAAAACCAAAACCCAAAACAACAACAAAAACAGUAAAAAACACAUUUAGUUCCUCUUUUCUGAUGUUUUGUGAUGUGAAAUGAUUUCAUUUAAAAACUUUUUACAAGCCAAAUUAGUUAUGACAAAGUGUCUUGGCUUUAUGUGAAAAGGGUUUGAUAGUGGAGGCCUGCAGGGGUGGCCUCUGAGCAGAGCCCAGCAGCUGCCCCAUGUCAGAUCAGAGACAGCUCCAUCUGGCUCCAAAAGGGACCUGCCACUGGCCAGAGCUGAGCAAGUGAGUGAUGUUGGUUCCACCACUGGGAGAACAGGUUGAAGGACGGGAAAAUCUGCUUCACAACAGCAGCUGGGAGAGUGAGGAAUGAGAACCAGCCCUGCAGCCCCCAAGGUCAGUGCAGCAGGAGGGCAGGA
Molecule: long non-coding RNA, 1298 nt
Filed under: Anser cygnoides (Swan goose)
Lineage: Eukaryota; Metazoa; Chordata; Aves; Anseriformes; Anatidae
Description: lncRNA (ENSACDG00005011534.1)
Source: RNAcentral